UUUCGCAAUGCCCGAAAGGGUGACGAAGCGACGCCGCGUGGGUGAGGAAGGCCUUCGGGUUGUAAAGCCCUGUCAGGAGUUAAGAAAUGUAGAUUCGCUAAUAUCGGGUCUAUUUGACAAAGGCUCCAAAGGAAGCCACGGCUAACUCUGUGCCAGCAGCCGCGGUAAUACAGAGGUGGCAAGCGUUGUUCGGAAUUAUUGGGCGUAAAGAGCACGUAGGUGGAUUUGUAAGUCAGAUGUGAAAGCCUUCUGUUCAACGGAAGAAUUACACCUGAAACUACAAACCUUGAGUGUAGGAGGGGAGAAUGGAACUUCUGGUGGAGCGGUGAAAUGCGUAGAUAUCAGAAGGAACGCCGGCGGCGAAAGCGAUUCUCUGGCCUAUUACUGACACUCAGUGUGCGAAAACUAGGGGAGCAAACGGGAUUAGAUACCCCGGUAGUCCUAGCCGUAAACGAUGGGCACUAAGUAGAGGGGUUUUA
RNAcentral lists this ribosomal RNA (479 nucleotides) under uncultured anaerobic ammonium-oxidizing bacterium. RNAcentral's name for it is "bacterial SSU rRNA". It matches the Rfam family "Bacterial small subunit ribosomal RNA", at positions 364 to 833 of the family's 1533-position model. The record is from RNAcentral.